Molecule: ribosomal RNA, 446 nt
Filed under: uncultured bacterium
Lineage: Bacteria
Description: partial 16S ribosomal RNA
Rfam family: Bacterial small subunit ribosomal RNA
Source: RNAcentral
CCUCCUUUGUUCCUCCUUCUUUCCUUUUCUUCCCUUUUGUUCCCCCUGCCCGCGCCCCGCCGCGUGCCCGAAGAAGUUAUUCGUAAUGUAAAGUUCUUUUAACAGGGAAGUAAGAGAAAUUUGACGGUACCUGAAGAAUAAGCUCCGGCUAACUCCGUGCCAGCAGCCGCGGUAAUACGUAGGGAGCGAGCGUUAUCCGGAAUUAUUGGGCGUAAAGGGUGCGUAGAUGGCAUAGUAAGUCUUUUGUAAAAAUGCUGGGCUCAACCCAGUAGGGCAAAAGAUACUGCAAAGCUAGAGGAUGACAGAGGCAAGUGGAACUACAUGUGUAGCGGUAAAAUGCGUAAAUAUAUGUAAGAACACCAGUGGCGAAGGCGGCUUGCUGGGUCGAUACUGACAUUGAGGCACGAAAGCGUGGGGAGCAAACAGGAUUAGAUACCCGGGUAGUC